GACGAACGCUGGCGGCGUGCUUAACACAUGCAAGUCGAGCGGAAAGGCCACUUCGGUGGUACUCGAGCGGCGAACGGGUGAGUAACACGUGAGUAAUCUGCCCUUCACUCUGGGAUAGCCACCGGAAACGGUGAUUAAUACCGGAUACGACCACUCCACGCAUGUGGUGGUGGUGGAAACUUUUUGGGUGGGGGAUGUGACUCGCGGCCUAUCAGCUUGUUGGUGGGGUAAUGGCCUACCAAGGCUUCGACGGGUAGCCGGCCUGAGAGGGUGAGCGGCCACGCUAGGACUGAGAGCCGGCCGAGACUCCUGCGGGAGGCAGCAGUGGGGAAUAUUGGACAAUGGGAGGAAGCCUGAUCCAGCAACGCCGCGUGAGGGAUGACGGCGUUCGGGUUGUAAACCUCUUUCAGCACCGACGAAGCGCAAGUGACGGUAGGUGCAGAUGAAGGACCGGCCAACUACGUGCCAGCCGCCGCCGUAA
RNAcentral lists this ribosomal RNA (481 nucleotides) under uncultured bacterium. RNAcentral describes it as "partial 16S ribosomal RNA". It matches the Rfam family "Bacterial small subunit ribosomal RNA", at positions 28 to 523 of the family's 1533-position model. The record is from RNAcentral.